Molecule: non-coding RNA, 279 nt
Organism: Pelobates cultripes (western spadefoot toad)
Lineage: Eukaryota; Metazoa; Chordata; Amphibia; Anura; Pelobatidae
Source: the annotation of a GenBank genome assembly
AGAUCUUUCAGAUGUCUGAUAGACAGCAACUUGCCAAUUUCCCAAACCCAUUUUUAAUUUUUAAACAUCUCAUGCUAUACUAUUAAACCAUUCCAUGGCAAGUGUACUUUGAUAACCUUUGGUAGGUAAACUGAACGGUACCUCAACCAAAAAACAGGCUGACCGAGGUCAAAUUAAGUUGUGAUGUUACCUGCCUCAUCCUAAGUCCUAAUAUUGCAGCACCCCACGGUUUGAUACCUUAAGUCAUUCCGACAUAAAUGACACACAGUCCCAUCAGGC